GAUCUGAUACUUUUUCAAUCUUCAUUAAGGAUAUAUCAAGACUUUCCAAAAGUGUUUAAAGGACUUUAUAUGAUAGGAUAAGUCAUCCAGCUAUUCCAUUAAGUUUGUCUUAUCCUUAAGGCUCCUGAUCAGAUCAAAUCUCCAUUGAGCGUGCUCUUUAAGUGGAUUUCCAUAAAUAGCAGAUGCUCUCAUAAAUGCGCGAGAUUUCCUUGAAUAAAUAUGAUGUUGUAACAUGUUUUCCAACAUCUUGUUAGUAUAUUUGUUUUAGCAAAAUUAAGCCAAUUCAAAUAUCCAACAUUUUGGGAAAAAAAUCCUUUUUCUUUCUCUCAAACACUCUCAGCUCUCUCUUUUCUCUCCAUCACCGUACAACACCACCACCCCACUAAGCUCAUCAAUUUUUGCUUCAAUCUCACAUGCAAUUGGUAAUACAAGUUCCUUAAGUUAUAGGCUCCAAGGUAAGCCAAUUUUUGGGUACUUUUCUUCUCUCAUUUCUUUCUAUUUCGUACCAAAUCCAUCUCCUCCCAAUAACUCAGUUAUGUUUUGUCUUGCACGUGAGGGAUUGGAACUCAUGGGUGUUUAAAUUGAUGAUUUAGGAACCUGUUUUGGAGGCACAAGUUCAAGAGGGAACUGAAGUGCAAUUUCAUAUAAGUAAUCAAGCUUUGGAGUUAGAAACAAGCUUCAAAAGAUUAGAUAGUUAGUUUUCCCCAAAUUAUGAUUUUGCAUGCCAACACUAAGAAUUAGGAUAAAUUGUGUAUGAGAGGAGCNNNNNNNNNNNNNNNNNNNNNNNNNNNNNNNNNNNNNNNNNNNUGGCUAGAAAGAAAAUGGAAUUGUGGUGAGAAUUUAUGUGAAUACCGAUGAGAAAUAUGAAACAAAGUAGCAGGUCAAUACUCUGCAUAAAUUUGAAAAUAAGAACAAUCUCACUCUUUUCAAUUCCUAAUACUUCUAGUUAAUUUCUGUGGAUAUUACAAGUAUAAUACAUAAUUAAAAUGUUAAUUGAACGUUAAGAAAUGAUAAUCAGGAAAUUAGAAUAAGUUAGUAAUCCCCGGGAGGGAAUCAAGGGCAGGAUAACACUCAGGACAGUUUAGUUAGUCCGUCAAUCACGGUGGAUACUUUUGUACCACGUUAUGGGAUUCGAGGAAUCUAAUUAUGUUACGAUUGUGAGCUUCAUGUCGUGCCGAUGCGUAUAAUUAUCGACGACGGAUAUGUCAUGUCAGGCCUCUGAGAUCAGCUCACCUCAGAGUAUCUUAGUUAUGUUAAAAUGAACAAGAUAAUAAUUCGUGGUACACAUUUAUGUUUUUAUGUUAUAUUAUGAAUUAUGUUAUGAAAAUUAUGUUAUGGACUGACAUUCAGGUACCCCGGUGUAGUCACCGUUAGUUGGGUAGUAAAACUCACUGAGGCUUAGUAGUCUCAUCCGACGCUUAUUCAUUAUUUUCAGAUAAGCAAGGUUCUCGUGGUAAGCGAGCAGAGGAGUAGUUGCUGCAGCUAGAUGCUUUAUGUUCCGGACUUUAUUGUCUAUUAUGCUGUCAUAUCAUGUUCUUUCCGUUUAAGUUGUAUCAGACUUAUGUAUCAAGUACCUACAUGUACAUAUCAAACUUCUUAUGUAUUAUAAUCUUUAUGUAUCCAGUACUUAAUUAUGAACGCUCUAGCUAUAUUCUAGACUAUUUAGCAUUGAGUGUUAUAGUCA
RNAcentral lists this long non-coding RNA (1684 nucleotides) under Trifolium pratense (red clover). RNAcentral's name for it is "long non-coding RNA (TPRA_LNC008021)". Lineage: Eukaryota; Viridiplantae; Streptophyta; Magnoliopsida; Fabales; Fabaceae. The record is from RNAcentral.